AGCAGCCGCGGUAAUUCCAGCUCCAAUAGCGUAUAUUAAAGUUGUUGCAGUUAAAAAGCUCGUAGUUGAAUUUCGAGAUCAAUACGUCGGUCGUGCCUUCGGUACGUACUGUCGUCAUUGGUUUCUCCCUUCUGACGAACCAUGAUGUCAUUAAUUUGGUGUUAUGGGGAGUUAGGACUGUUACUUUGAAAAAAUUAGAGUGUUUAAAGCAGGCAUUAGCUUGAAUACAUUAGCAUGGAAUAAUGAAAUAGGACGUUCGAUCCUAUUUUGUUGGUUUCUAGGAUCAACGUAAUGAUUAAUAGGGAUAGUUGGGGGCAUUAGUAUUCAAUUGUCAGAGGUGAAAUUCUUGGAUUUAUUGAAGACUAACUACUGCGAAAGCAUUUGCCAAGGAUGUUUC
This 397-nucleotide ribosomal RNA is filed under the name uncultured Glomeromycotina. Its description in RNAcentral is "SSU rRNA". It matches the Rfam family "Eukaryotic small subunit ribosomal RNA", at positions 569 to 970 of the family's 1831-position model. The record is from RNAcentral. Lineage: Eukaryota; Fungi; Glomeromycota.